This 420-nucleotide ribosomal RNA is filed under the name uncultured Nitrososphaerota archaeon. Its description in RNAcentral is "bacterial SSU rRNA". It matches the Rfam family "Archaeal small subunit ribosomal RNA", at positions 459 to 879 of the family's 1478-position model. The record is from RNAcentral. Lineage: Archaea; Thermoproteati; Nitrososphaerota.
CAGCCGCCGCGGUAACACCAGCCCCUCGAGUGGUGGGGAUGAUUAUUUGGCCUAAAGCGUCCGUAGCUUGCCGGAAAAGUUUCCCGUUAAAUCCGACGUCUCAAGCGUUGGUCUGCGGGAAAUACUGUCCGGCUAGAGAGUGGGAGAGGUUAGCGGUAUUCUGGGGGUAGGGGCGAAAUCCUUUGAUCCCCGGAGGACCACCAGUGGCGAAGGCUGCUGACUAGAACACGUCUGACGGUCAGGGACGAAAGCUGGGGUAGCGAACCGGAUUAGAUACCCGGGUAGUCCCAGCCGUAAACGAUGCAUGCUAGGUGUUGGGUUGGCCACGAGCCACCCCAGUGCCGCAGGGAAGCCGUUAAGCAUGCCGCCUGGGAAGUACGAUCGCAAGGUUGAAACUUAAAGGAAUUGGCGGGGGAGCAC